GGGGGAAAACCCAAAUUUGGGGGUUAAGAAAGAAGGCUCAGAAUUCAGGGUGGAAUGAUCAGGAGAAGGAAAGCACUCCGUGGCUGCAGUGUGUGGGAGUUGGGGUUCGCAUCUGCACGGGCUGCGAGCCCUGCAGGAGCCAACAGCACCUGGCAGCGCUUUGCAUUUCAGCCAGCCUGUGCCAAACCGGCGACCACAAGAGCUUUGUUUCCCCACUCCCAGAAUACGGCCGUGGGUCUGACUCAGAAGUUAUCAGCCUUUGCUGGGCGGAGGAGGAAUGCGGUGCUCUGGGAGUGCAGGGUCUGCUCAGCCAGGAGCUCAGUUGAGGGGCAGUGGCAAAUCUGUGAGGCGUUGCUGCGUGCUGCCGUGCAUACAGUGUGCACAGCUCGUAUUCGGUGAGUGCCCCCUGCUUGCUGCAGUUAUGUGCAGUUUAUGAGGCCCAGUUUGGAGCUGGAUGGGCGCAGCCACGCAUGCAGAUCGGCUUUCCAGCAGCAGGCAAUAACAGCACAGGGUUAGUGCAGCACAGGGGGUAUUCAGUGCCUUAAAGCUUGCAAAAUUAUACCCUCUCAUCACACGCUGUAAAAAGAAAUGUAACUUAGGAAGUAAUUCCCUUUAUGUGGAAUUGAGGAGUGAGGAAAUGUGUUAACCAGGCAAGAAUUCAAAGGGUUCACGUACAGCUCUGGCUUAAAAGAAUUCCUACAGCACUUUUGUACCAAUGAAUCCAAGCUCUGCAGAGCUGUGCUCAUCCAGGCCCUUGCUGCACAGCAAAGCUAUGGGUCUCCUUAUCUCCCCUUCUAAGGACCAGCAGUGUUUCCCAGAUGCUUUCGGUGGAGUCAGCGCAGUGUUUUUGCACGUCAGUGUUGCAGUGAUUCAAGGCAGGAGCUGAGGAGCUGCCUGCAUUUGUUCUCCUCCUUGGAAUAAAGGGAGGACCCUCUGUUCAGGUGCUGCUAUCUGUUAAAGAAAAGGACUGUUAAAUAGAAGAGCUUUCAGUGAGGUUCAUUCCGCUCGAACUGAUGGUGAUGCUUUGCUGGUGGUCGUCACCUGUGUGAAAGAACAGAAAAUAAAACGUGGGACCUUUUGGCUGCAGAGACCACAUCGCUGUGUCAGCUCUGAUGGGAAGAAGCCUCGGGAACACAGCAUGUCAGAGCUAUCUGCAACUCCAAGGGCACAGCAAAGGAACCACAGGCAUCUCCAUGGGUUGGGAUUAUGAAGAUUAAAGGAGGGAGGCUAAAAACAGCACUUCCAGCCGGCUGCUCCCAACGAGUCAGAAAUGCCACGUCGACAUCGCUGCCACUUACCUCCACCUAUGGUCUUCUGGAGCAAUUAGCAGUCAAUGUCUGGGCUUUUAAAGUCAUCAGUUGGGUGACCAAGAGGACUGAGUGGCACUGGCACUCAUGUUUUGGGUUUAAUUAAAGGAGCACAGAGUAUAGGAGAUAUGAAAGGCAUAUAGAUGUGUAUGUGAUGCAAAGCCUUGGUGGAGCUCCAAAGUCAUGGGGCUUCUCAGAGGCAGAAUCUGCAAGAGAAAGAAGAAAGGUGUUUUAGGAUGUGUUUCUUCAUCAGUAAGGAAAGUAUUAACUGAGCAUAGCAAGGUGAAAUGACUUCACUUUCUUUUAAACCUGGAAGUAGAGACCAAUCUCUGCAUGAUUGCCAAUGGGCUGCACUGAUGGACGGCUCUUCUGCAGCACUCUCUGGACUGUUUUGCUGCCCAUCCGAGGAGGAAGUUUCCCCAACCUUCCAUGCAAAUGCUCUCUUUGAUGCUGUGUUCAGGUUUGAAUUGCUGUGGGGAAGCGGUGAGGCAGAAAGCCCGGCCUCUCCUUGCAUGUCAGUGUGAGUGCUGUGCACGUCAGUGUGGUACUCAGCAUCGUUUUCCCCCAAGUGGCUGAAAAGGUGCCUUCUUUUUCCUUUGGAUGUGAUCGUCAGCUCUGCAGCAUCAGAUCUCACAGGAGGAGUAAAGCUCCGCAGCUGUGCAGAGGGCAAUCCAUGCUGUGGGUGGGGAGUUCCCAAUAGCACCAAUGUGCCAGACUGAGAGAGGUCCAAGGAGAAGAAGGUAGAAAACCUCGGCUGCAAUGAGCGGAGAGGUUCCUAGGUGUCACUGCAGCCCUGGCUGAUAGAGCUGGGAGAGCCCUUCGCUGGCGCAACCCCGGGGAAGUGGAAGCCAAUCCAACAAAGAACUUAAAGCUGCUCCGACUGCGAGAGGUUUGCCAUGAGAAUAUGGGCUGUGUUGUAAACACUGAGGUCUGGAGCCUUCCUUGGGGCUGAAAUAACUCGUUUGGCAUUCAGUGCUGUUCCCGGGCAUUGCAACUCUUGAAGUCCUGUUUAUAGGAUGUGUUUUCCUGUAACUGAAACGCUGGGAUUCGGAGAAAGCUUUCCGCAGCAGCAGGGUAAUGAUUCCAUUCCUCAGCAAAGGGAUCUGCAACACAACGGCCACCCAUCACCAUCACUGGCAAACCGGGGCUGAAAACGUGUGCUCUCGUUUUCCUGCUCAGUGGCAUUGGCAGUGGCAUUGGAACAGGACUUUGAAGGGCAGCGAAGUGGCUGAGGACGGCAAUUUCACCUCUAUGGGGAGCAUUACCAUGCCAAGGUUAAUCAGUGAUUUGCCAGAGAGCCCUCUGUGACCACUUUAUUUCUGCCUCUGAGGGGAACACGAGUCCUUCCCAUUGGCUGAGGAAGGAGAGGUCAUCAGAGCUGUGCAGCCGAUCUCCGCUCAGCCAAUAACCAUUGGCUCCACCACUUAUCCAAGUGCGACGUUUGCUUUGGUUGGGUGCCUGUGACACCGCCAGAGUCGAAACGAAGCCGAAUAUCUUUGGAAUGGAAAAUGGAUAAAAUACUUUGCAAUGGGGAGCGUGACGUGGAGGUCAACUCAAGGCCGUGACUGGGCAACAUGGAGGCAGCUGCCCUACGAUCACAGGGCUGAGCACAAACAGGACCCGAAUUACUCAGCAGUGCAAGCGCAGUGAUUUCCCCCCCUGACCAGGUGACUGUGAGAACUGUCAGCAAGUAAAUAAGCUCCAAUAAGCUCAUUAAUUCCCUAAAGAAAUAAUGAGAAGAUACUCAAGGGUAGAUCUUGCUGUCAGCUUAGGAGUGCUGUAGGAUUGCAGAAGGGUUUGGUAUUGAGCAGUGGGGCUGGCUACCCGAAAUCCAGCACAGAGCAUAAAACUAGAUGAGAACAGAAGCUUUAUUGAAGGCUGACUCUUUAACCAGUAAGACACCAACCUUCAUCUUGGGUGUUCCAAGGCAACUCGUCGAAGUUCAUAAAUCACUCAUAAAUGCAAUUUAAAAUCUCACUGAACCAAAGCAGCAGGAGGGGUGCUAACACACCACGUGGAUGGCGAACCAGAGUUGUACUGUGCCAGACUCUGACAGCAUUGGAGCCCAGUGAAUACGUUUGUGCACUGUGGCUUUUUUCCUUUUACUCUUUGUAGGCAGCUCCAAUUAAACAUCUUUACACUUGAUAUCAUGUCAAUAGCCCUCAUUUCCAGAAGCUGUGUUUUCUGUUUUUUUUUUCCUCCCACUUUUUGAUGUUUAAUGUGUUUCCCUCAUAUCCGAGUCCCUCUUGCCAAUACAUGGGAUGCUGCAUAUUUGAUGAGAACAAUUAAACAAGAGUUUUGUAAAUGUGUUUUAAGCUCACCCUCCUCCCCCCUCCACACACACACACACACUCUUGGCUCUCUUAAGCACUAGGAGAAAGGCCACCAGGAUCAGUAAGUCUUUCCCAUUUUAACACUGAUUUCUCUAGACACACCACUUAAUAAAGCUAGAAACAGGGAAGAGAAUGCUUGUUAAGAAAAUGAAAGCAUGGAAAUGCUUAAAAACGGGCUAAGCAAGGAAAUGACAGAAGCACAGAGUUGGAGUGGAUGGGUAACCCCAUCUGGUCGCACCAAUCACGGGAGAUUUUUGAGAUCUCCAAGGUAGAGAUGUCCAACAACGAAGAGCAGAGAGCUGUUCUGCUGAUGUUGCUGUACAAAACCUCCCGUCUUCCAGUUUGUGCCCAUCACCUCCAAUCGAGGCACUGAGCACCACUGGACAGAGCUCUGCUCUGUGCUCCCAUCAGGAGAGUUUUGACACCGACGAGGAUGGGAUUUGAACCCACGCGUGCAGAGCACAAUGGAUUAGCAGUCCAUCGCCUUAACCACUCGGCCACCUCGUCUGCCAAAUUUGGAUGUUGAAGAUGCAGUAAAGCUCUGGUUUAUUGUCAUCAUCAGAAUGACUUCUAAUUAGACAUGACUGUGGGUUGCCAUUAAGCUCUCCUCCAUUUAGCUAUGCUACACCGCGUUUUUUAAGACUAUUAAUGCACCAAUCCUACCUGUUUAUUUCAGUGCUAUUGAUAGCAUUAAGAAAUUCUAAGGCUGCCAC
Long non-coding RNA from Gallus gallus (chicken), 4353 nucleotides. Lineage: Eukaryota; Metazoa; Chordata; Aves; Galliformes; Phasianidae. The record is from Ensembl.